This 657-nucleotide ribosomal RNA is filed under the name Cynodon erectus. RNAcentral's name for it is "eukaryotic LSU rRNA". The stretch from base 243 to 398 matches the Rfam family "5.8S ribosomal RNA". Lineage: Eukaryota; Viridiplantae; Streptophyta; Magnoliopsida; Poales; Poaceae. The record is from RNAcentral.
ACCUGCGGAAGGAUCAUUGUCGUGACCCUGACCAAAACAAACCGUGAACCUGUCACCUAUGCUGCCGGUUGAUGGGCUUGCACCUAUCUCUCGGUCUAGGCCACCGACCUUCUUCAGAAGGGCGGGGUGCCAAAAGAACCCACGGCGCCGUAUGGCGUCAAGGAGAACUAAUGUUGCCUUGCUUGGGGCCUCGGCCGGCUUGCCGGAUGCACCCCUUGCAGCGAUGCUAUGGAAAAUCACAUGACUCUCGGCAACGGAUAUCUCGGCUCUUGCAUCGAUGAAGAACGUAGCAAAAUGCGAUACCUGGUGUGAAUUGCAGAAUCCCGUGAACCAUCGAGUUUUUGAACGCAAGUUGCGCCCGAGGCCUUGUGGCCGAGGGCACGUCUGCCUGGGCGUCACGCCAAAAGACACUCCACCGCAAUCCCGGUCUGGACGUGGUGUUUGGCCCCUCAUUCCAUAGUGUAUGGUGGGCCAAAGAGGCGGCUGCCGGCGGUGCCGGUCACAGCAGAUGGUGGAUGGCACAAGUUAUUCUCGGUGUUGUGAUCCUGACGUCAUGUUAUGCCCCUUUUGGACCCAUGGUUUGGAGCGUACGUAGCUCGGACCGCGACCCCAGGUCAGUCGGGACUACCCGCUGAAUUUAAGCAUAUCAAUAGGCGG